UACGUAGGGUGCAAGCGUUAAUCGGAAUUACUGGGCGUAAAGCGUGCGCAGGCGGUUUUGCAAGGCAGAUGUGAAAUCCCCGGGCUUAACUCGGAACGGUCAAGUGAUACUGUCGGGCUAGAGUGCAGAAGGGGCAACUGGAAUUCUCGGUGUAGCGGUGAAAUGCGUAGAUAUCGAGAGGAACACCUGCGGCGAAGGCGGGUUGCUGGGCUGACACUGACGCUGAGGCGCGAAAGCCAGGGGAGCGAACGGG
This 253-nucleotide ribosomal RNA is filed under the name uncultured bacterium. RNAcentral's name for it is "partial 16S ribosomal RNA". It matches the Rfam family "Bacterial small subunit ribosomal RNA", at positions 524 to 776 of the family's 1533-position model. The record is from RNAcentral.